GAUGAACGCUGGCGGCGUGCCUAAUACAUGCAAGUCGAGCGAACAGACGAGGAGCUUGCUCCCCUGACGUUAGCGGCGGACGGGUGAGUAACACGUGGAUAACCUACCUCUUAGACUGGGAUAACUUCGGGAAACCGGAGCUAAUACCGGAUAAUAUAUUGAACCGCAUGGAUCAAUAGUUAAACACGCCUUUGGUGUCAGAUAUAGAUGGUUCCGCGCCGCAUUAGCUAGUUGGUAAGGUAACGGCUUACCAAGGCAACGAUGCGUAGCCGACCUGAGAGGGUGAUCGGCCACACUGGAACUGAGACACGGUCCAGACUCCUACGGGAGGCAGCAGUAGGGAAUCUUCGGCAAUGGGCGAAAGCCUGACGGAGCAACGCCGCGUGAGUGAUGAAGGUCUUCGGAUCGUAAAGCUCUGUUGUUAGGAAAGAACAGAAGCAGAAGUAUAUAUGCCCGUCUUGACGGUACCUAAUGAGAAAGCCACGGCUAACUACGUG
RNAcentral lists this ribosomal RNA (497 nucleotides) under uncultured bacterium. RNAcentral's name for it is "partial 16S ribosomal RNA". It matches the Rfam family "Bacterial small subunit ribosomal RNA", at positions 28 to 507 of the family's 1533-position model. The record is from RNAcentral.